RNAcentral lists this ribosomal RNA (393 nucleotides) under uncultured bacterium. Its description in RNAcentral is "bacterial SSU rRNA". It matches the Rfam family "Bacterial small subunit ribosomal RNA", at positions 30 to 422 of the family's 1533-position model. The record is from RNAcentral.
AUUGAACGCUGGCGGCGUGCCUAACACAUGCAAGUCGAGCGGUAACAGGUGUAGCAAUACAUGCUGACGAGCGGCGAACGGGUGAGUAAUGCUUUGGAAUCUUCCCAGUAGUGGGGAAUAACCAGUCGAAAGAUUGGCUAAUACCGCAUACGUCUGUAAAGGGAAAGCGGGGGCUCGUAAGACCUCGCGCUAUUGGAUGAGCCAAAGUCGGAUUAGCUAGUUGGGGGGUAAUGGCCUACCAAGGCGACAAUCCGUAGCUGGUCUGAGAGGACGACCAGCCACACCGGAACUGAGACACGGUCCGGACUCCUACGGGAGGCAGCAGUGGGGAAUAUUGGACAAUGGGGGAAACCCUGAUCCAGCGACGCCGCGUGUGUGAAGAAGGCCUGCGGG